UCUUAAAAUAAUUAUGUACUAAGGCCACACCAAUUUGAUUCCUUGUUCGACGGACCCGCCCGCACCUAUUUUUUUCAAAACCGAAUUUUUUUAUUUUUUUUAUAUUCCCGCUUCCCGCAUCCGGAAAUGUAAUCAUGUCUAUUUCCCGCACCGUUUUUUUUUUGUAAAUAUAACAAAAGGAUAUCAACAUUUGUUUUUAAAAUCACAGUC
RNAcentral lists this long non-coding RNA (210 nucleotides) under Mytilus galloprovincialis (Mediterranean mussel). Lineage: Eukaryota; Metazoa; Mollusca; Bivalvia; Mytilida; Mytilidae. The record is from RNAcentral.